UCUAAGUUUGAUGGCGACCGGCGCACGGGUGAGUAACACGUAUCCAACCUGCCGAUGACUCGGGGAUAGCCUUUCGAAAGAAAGAUUAAUACCCGAUGGCAUAGUUCUUCCGCAUGGUAGAACUAUUAAAGGAUUUCGGUCAUCGAUGGGGAUGCGUUCCAUUAGGUUGUUGGCGGGGUAACGGCCCACCAAGCCUUCGAUGGAUAGGGGUUCUGAGAGGAAGGUCCCCCACAUUGGAACUGAGACACGGUCCAAACUCCUACGGGAGGCAGCAUG
RNAcentral lists this ribosomal RNA (276 nucleotides) under uncultured bacterium. Its description in RNAcentral is "partial 16S ribosomal RNA". It matches the Rfam family "Bacterial small subunit ribosomal RNA", at positions 78 to 353 of the family's 1533-position model. The record is from RNAcentral.